RNAcentral lists this transfer RNA (73 nucleotides) under bacterium TMED88. RNAcentral's name for it is "tRNA-Asp". It matches the Rfam family "tRNA". From Rfam's summary of the family: Transfer RNA (tRNA) molecules are approximately 80 nucleotides in length. Their secondary structure includes four short double-helical elements and three loops (D, anti-codon, and T loops). RNAcentral also lists the same sequence under 1 other name. The record is from RNAcentral.
GGGGCUGUAACUCAACGGUUAGAAUGCUCGCCUGUCUAGCGAGAAGUUGGGAGUUCGAAUCUCCUCAGUCCCG